Molecule: ribosomal RNA, 33 nt
Filed under: Trichophyton benhamiae
Lineage: Eukaryota; Fungi; Ascomycota; Eurotiomycetes; Onygenales; Arthrodermataceae
Description: partial 18S ribosomal RNA
Source: RNAcentral
CCUUCCGUAGGGGAACCUGCGGAAGGAUCAUUA